UGUUGAGUGGCAUGUCCUGGACCCGAAGCGGGGUGAUCUACCCAUGGCCAGUGUGAAGCAGCUGUAAGAGGUUGUGGAGGCGCGAACCCACUUAGGUUGAAAACUGAGGGGAUGAGCUGUGGGUAGGGGUGAAAGGCUAAUCAAACUCCGUGAUAGCUGGUUCUCCCCGAAAUGCAUUUAGGUGCAGCGUCGUGUGUUUCUUCCUGGAGGUAGAGCUACUGGUUGGUUUAGCGGGACUAUCAUCUUAGCGACAUCAGCCAAACUCCGAAUGCCGGUGAAGUCAGAGCGCGGCAGUGAGACUGCGGGGGAUAAGCUUCGUAGUCGAGAGGGAAACAGCCCAGAUCGCCGGCUAAGGCCCCGAAGAGUGUACUAAGUGGAAAAGGAUGUGGGAUCGCGAAGACAGCCAGGAGGUUGGCUUAGAAGCAGCCAUCCUUGAAAGAGUGCGUAAUAGCUCACUGGUCGAGUGGUUCUGCGCCGACAAUGUAGUGGGGCUCAAGUACACCGCCGAAGCCGCGGAACUCAACUGUUGUUGGGUUGGUAGGGGAGCGUCGUGUGGCCGGUGAAGGUGCGGGGUGACCCAGUGCUGGAGGCUAUGCGAGUGAGAAUGCAGGCAUGAGUAGCGAAUGAUGCGUGAGAAACGUAUCCGCCGGAUGACUAAGGGUUCCUGGGUCAAGCUAAUCUUCCCAGGGUGAGUCGGGACCUAAGGCGAGGCCGACAGGCGUAGUCGAUGGACAACGGGUUGAUAUUCCCGUACCCGUGUAUGUGCGCCCAAUGGUGAAUCAGUGAUACUAACCACCCAAAUCCAUGCGUGUAGCACUUUGUGUUGUGUGUGUGGGGCUGCGUGGGACCUGAUCUGGUAGUAGCCAAGCGAUGGGGUGACGCAGGAAGGUAGCCAAGCCACUUAUUGGAUUGUGGUGUAAGCGUGUGGCCCGCGCCCGG
This 939-nucleotide non-coding RNA is filed under the name Corynebacterium sp. HMSC28B08. RNAcentral describes it as "bacterial LSU rRNA". It matches the Rfam family "Bacterial large subunit ribosomal RNA", at positions 693 to 1534 of the family's 2925-position model. The record is from RNAcentral. Lineage: Bacteria; Bacillati; Actinomycetota; Actinomycetes; Mycobacteriales; Corynebacteriaceae.